This 66-nucleotide transfer RNA is filed under the name Cataetyx rubrirostris (rubynose brotula). RNAcentral's name for it is "tRNA-Cys". The record is from RNAcentral. Lineage: Eukaryota; Metazoa; Chordata; Actinopteri; Ophidiiformes; Bythitidae.
AGCCCCGAGGUGUUAUCAUAACAGAUUGCAAAUCUGGAGAGGCCGGCUAAAAGCCGACCGGGGCUU